AGUGAAUAGAUACCCGGGUAGUCCACGCCGUAAACUAUGGACGCUAGCUGUUAGAAGUAUCGACCCUUCUAGUAGCGAAAGCUAAACGCGUUAAGCGUCCCGCCUGUGGAGUACGAGCGCAAGCUUAAAACAUAAAGGAAUUGACGGGGACCCGCACAAGCGGUGGAGCGUGUUGUUUAAAUUCGAUGCUAAGCGAAGAACCUUACCCAGGUUUGACAUCCUGCUAAUUUCUCCGAAAGGAGAGAGUGCCUUCGGGCCGCAGUGACAGGUGUUGCAUGGCCGUCGUCAGCUCGUGUCGUGAGAUGUUUGGUUAAGUCCAUCAACGAGCGCAACCCUUUUGUUUAGUUGUAUUUCUCUAAACAGACUGCCCU
Molecule: ribosomal RNA, 371 nt
Filed under: uncultured bacterium
Lineage: Bacteria
Description: bacterial SSU rRNA
Rfam family: Bacterial small subunit ribosomal RNA
Source: RNAcentral